Molecule: RNA transcript, 890 nt
Organism: Eutrema salsugineum
Lineage: Eukaryota; Viridiplantae; Streptophyta; Magnoliopsida; Brassicales; Brassicaceae
Exons: 2
Source: RefSeq, a predicted model, not a curated record
AUAACUAAAAUACAAUCUUCUUAAAAAAUAAGAGAAACACACACAGAGAAAGAAAAAGAAGAAGAAGAUUAAGAACAAUACAAGAAUGUUAAUGGUGUCGGUAUUGGCAGAUAUGUUGAAGGAGUACACGGUUGUGCUCGCCGGAGUUUUGGAGCAUCUCUUCUCUCAGGCGCCUUUCCCGAGGAGAAUCCGACUUCAUAUUUUAUACUCUCUUCCUUUCCAUAGUUCCGAUUCCUCUCUCCCUCUUCUCCUUCCUUCUCCUCCUCCUUACUCUCGACCUUCUUGAUGUUUUUUUUGUGUGCUUCACUUACGUUUGUACAUUUUCUUUGAGUUGAGAUGUGAAAAUCCAGAGCUUUUGAUGUAAUUAAGUCCUCUUGUAGGUGAGGCGGCGUUUCAGUUCCGGCAAUAUGUGUUGCCAAUCUAUUUCUUCAAUCUUUGGUUUUCAUCCUCUCUCGACUGGAAGAUGUUUUUCCCAGAGUCCCUAUCAUUUGCCUUAAUGGCAAAAUGGAUGGGUCUUGAUUCAAAGGUGAACGGCGGUGGUGAUUUAUGAAGAAGCAAGUUUUUCAAUCACAAUUAUUCAUCGGAUCUACAAAGAGGAAUUAAAAUUGGCGGAGGAACAACGAUUUUGGUGGUGGAUAGGAUUCCGAUUGGAGUUUAUCAUGGUUUAAGCUCUUCGGAUUUCAGUUUUCCGACGAAGCUCUGAACAUCAACGUUAUCAACGGCAUCUCCUUACCGUCAACUGAUAUUUUCUCCUAAGACUUCUACGUGUGUUAAAAUUAUCAAUCUUUAUUUCUUAUGAUUUGGAUUAUAAUUGGGCUUAUGAUUUGUAAGUUUUGGGCUCCCAAAAUGCUGUAACUUGCUCAUUUAUGGGUUUUCGUUAUAAACGAAUA